Long non-coding RNA from Arabidopsis lyrata subsp. lyrata, 189 nucleotides. RefSeq lists it as uncharacterized. The record is from RefSeq and is a predicted model, not a curated record. Lineage: Eukaryota; Viridiplantae; Streptophyta; Magnoliopsida; Brassicales; Brassicaceae. The transcript has 3 exons.
UUGGAGGAUGAAAUUAGCAGAAUGAAGAAUCAGAGACAUGAAGCUGAAAUUGGUGAAAACUCAGCUGCAAGAAGUGUAAACAAAAGAGCACACCCUAAGUGUGUGUUGGUUGACUGGUCGGGUUCUGAUGAUAACAUUGGUGAGGGCCGUAUUCUUUCUUCUGAUCCUGAUGACAUAGUGAAUGACUGU